This 969-nucleotide long non-coding RNA is filed under the name Cairina moschata (Muscovy duck). RNAcentral's name for it is "domestica (muscovy Duck (domestic type)) lncRNA (ENSCMMG00000015830.1)". Lineage: Eukaryota; Metazoa; Chordata; Aves; Anseriformes; Anatidae. The record is from RNAcentral.
UCCCCAUUACUGCACCGUAACUGUAACCUCCAGGAAAUACCUGUGAGGUGGGAAUAUCUCCUAGGGACACUGCUUUGGGUAGUGCCCAAAGAUUGAGGGAGGUCUUUGGGCCCUCCUUGUGAGUUGUGUUGAAACAGAAUGGCCAAGCUGAUGGCCUGGUUGAGCAAUGGACCUUCCCUUCCACCUUUUGCUGUUCAUGAUUACUGCAGGACUGGUUGUGAUACUUGAUACCAAGCCGCAGAUCAGCUGAAUGUAGCGAGGAGAAGACCCUUGGUCAGCAAACUCACAGCUACCCUGCUGAACUGACAAUCGUUACCUGUGAAGAUGUGCCUGGAUUGUCAGCACAGCCCUGCUUGAAAUGCCAUGUUUCUUCCCCGUGUUUCCUUUAAAGCCAAGGACAGCAAGGCAAGAUAGGGUUUCACGAGGGUAUAGGGUUUCUGAAUCUGAGUCUUUCCUGAGACAAACUCUUUCUAAUCCUUACCUGUGUGUCAGAGCUGCACAGACAUCGACCACAUCCGUAACCACCCAUAGGAUCUUCUAUUGCUGGAGGAAGAACUGUAAUUUAGGCUGCCUGAACUUGGCUGCAGGAAAAGCAGGCAGGGGCUUGAAACAGCAGCAUGGAAGCCUUCGCUGAAAGCAAUAGAUGAUGCUCGCAGCCCUAACAGACCUUUGGACAGACCCAGUGGCUAUGCCUGCAUCCAGCAACCUCUGAUCUGCGCCUGGCUGGGGCUGCUUUUUGGUUGUGUCCAGGUAUGGCUUGGACCCUGCGCUAUAUGGGCAGGUAAUGCCACUGCAUGAUCCGCAGGGGUGCACAGAGGAAUACAAAAAGCAAACAAGGGUGCAACUUAGGCUCCAGAACCUUCAGCAGUUUGGGAGCCAACAGCAAUUGCAGGUUCCAGGAAAUGGAUUUUCCCAAGCACCAGGACAGAGUCAGGCCCUGCCCUUUGUAGCAGCUGAGGGAAUGCCUGG